This 450-nucleotide ribosomal RNA is filed under the name uncultured bacterium. RNAcentral's name for it is "bacterial SSU rRNA". It matches the Rfam family "Bacterial small subunit ribosomal RNA", at positions 328 to 794 of the family's 1533-position model. The record is from RNAcentral.
AAGCCAGACUCCUACGGGAGGCAGCAGUGGGGAAUAUUGCACAAUGGGGGAAACCCUGAUGCAGCAACGCCGCGUGAGUGAAGAAGUAUUUCGGUCUGUAAAGCUCUAUCAGCAGGGAAGAAGAUGACGGUACCUGACCAAGAAGCCCCGGCUAACUACGUGCCAGCAGCCGCGGUAAUACGUAGGGGGCAAGCGUUAUCCGGAUUUACUGGGUGUAAAGGGAGCGCAGACGGCAGUGCAAGUCUGGAGUGAAAGCCCGGGGCCCAACCCCGGAACUGCUCUGGAAACUGUGCGGCUAGAGUACUGGAGGGGCAGGCGGAAUUCCUAGUGUAGCGGUGAAAUGCGUAGAUAUUAGGAGGAACACCAGUGGCGAAGGCGGCCUGCUGGACAGUAACUGACGUUGAGGCUCGAAAGCGUGGGGAGCAAACAGGAUUAGAUACCCCCGUACAA